Non-coding RNA from Cinara cedri, 245 nucleotides. Lineage: Eukaryota; Metazoa; Arthropoda; Insecta; Hemiptera; Aphididae. The record is from the annotation of a GenBank genome assembly.
CGAUAAUAUUAUACCCGCCCCGCGACCCGACAACGGGAAUUUAAUGGUCGGACCUAAACGAUAUCAACUUACUAUUAUUCGAUAAAUCCAGUCUCGUUACGCGUCCGAAUACUCGUGUUAAGUUAUUCGUUCGGUAUUUAAAAUAUUUCGGAAAUACAUUAAACAAUAUUUUUAUUAUUUUAUUUUUUUUUUUUUUAUCGUAUUUUCAUUACUUAUGAACGUGUAUAACAUACCACACUUUUGUU